Molecule: long non-coding RNA, 1043 nt
Filed under: Monodelphis domestica (gray short-tailed opossum)
Lineage: Eukaryota; Metazoa; Chordata; Mammalia; Didelphimorphia; Didelphidae
Description: lncRNA (ENSMODG00000051327.1)
Source: RNAcentral
UGAGAACAAACAGGUACAUAAGAGACGCAUGCCAAGGAUGGAAGGUAACCUUAAGAGGGCAAGGCUAGAACGACAGGGAAAACCCUCCUGGAGAAGGUGGCAUUUGAGUAAAGAAACAGAGAUUCUGAGGGCCAGAGGCAGGAAGAAGCAGCCUUUUGUCCUGAAUGUGCAGAAACGGAAAGGAUGGAACAUCUUACUCCCCAAAGGUUCACACAGCUGGCCAGCCCACUUGUCAGGAUCGCUUAGCAGCUGAAAAGGGAGCUUGGCUCGGGAGGCAGAUCUGGUGACCCAGCUGAUCACUGGACCAAGGGGUCCGACGUGCCAAAUCAAUGGAGUUGCUUCAAGAGUUCGCCAAGCUUUCAGAUAGCUCAAGUGGAUGACAAGGCAGCCCACUUUGGAAGGCAGUGUGGUGUGGCUGCUCCGAUGCUGGACUUGGCAUCAGGAGGUCAAGUGUUUAAAUCUUACCCCUGACACUGUGUGACUUUUGGCAAAUCAUUUAGUCUCUCUAAGCCUCAAUCUUCUCAUCUGCCAACUGAGACACUUCGUCUCUGGAGUCUUGGGAGGCUCCAAUGAGAUAAUGUAUGCAAAGUGCUUUGGAAAUCUUAAAGCAGAUGGUACUUUGCAAACCAUAAAGGCCACGAAGCUGGAUCCUCUAGAGAGCCAAUUGUUAAAUUUUUACUGUGAGCACUUACACUUCAGCAAUAGUCAAGUGCUACAAAUCAGGGCUUGAUUUAUUGUUUUGCUGAUUGUCUAGGCUUAGGAAAGUUAUGGAGAAAGUAUUAAUAAUAUAGUUUAAAUUUUGGAGGCAGCUGGGUGGCUCAGUAGAUUGAGAGCUAGGUCUGGAGAGGAAAGGUCCUAGAUUCAAAUCUGGCCUCAGAUACUUCCUAAUUAAAUGUAUGACUCUGGGCAAGUCACUAGGCAAUGGUGUAUUACCUAGUCCUUAUCUCUCUUCUACCUUGGAACUUUGUAUUGAUUCUAAAACAGAGGUUUGAAAAAAUGAGAGUUUGACUAGAUGGUCUCUGAGGUCUCUUUCAGCUCUCAAU